Lathyrus oleraceus (garden pea) is the source of this 585-nucleotide long non-coding RNA. RefSeq lists it as uncharacterized. The record is from RefSeq and is a predicted model, not a curated record. The transcript is spliced from 3 exons. Lineage: Eukaryota; Viridiplantae; Streptophyta; Magnoliopsida; Fabales; Fabaceae.
UUUCCCAGAUGCCGAGGUAUAUAUGUUCUAAAUGAUUAUGAAUCUUUAGUAUUCACAUUUCAAUUCAGCUACAAUUAUGAUAUUUAAUCAAUCCUUAUUACAUGGUAAUGUUAGACUCCUACAAGACCCACGCAUAAAGUUGGUAAAGGGAUUUCAAGACGCAUCGAGUCGGUUGCAUCUCUAAAAGAGGUUCCCGGUCGAAAGUUGAAAAAAGCUGGUAACGAUAUUCCUCCAACGACGUCCGGGACAAAAUCUCAAAUUAUGAUGCGUCUUGAGAAAAUGGUGAAUGAGUCCGAUAUUAUGCAAGGGGCCAUUCGUACUAUAGAUUUUGAUGAAGGUGUUUUCGGAGCUGCUCAUUUCGAAAUAAUUGCAAAGGAGGACAUGCAACAACUUUUUGAACACGACGAAUUGGGCAUCGCUGUCAUUCAUACAUACAUAUGGUAUAUGUAUGUAACAUUGCUGCGGGGAACUGAAUUGUGUAACCGUUUCAAUUUUAUUGCUGCUUCCCGUAUCAACGCAACGUUAAUAACGAAAAAUCCAACAUCCGUAAAGAAUGAUCUAGUCGAUAGAUUCAUGGCGGCCGAC